This 84-nucleotide transfer RNA is filed under the name Actinomycetota bacterium. RNAcentral's name for it is "tRNA-Leu". It matches the Rfam family "tRNA". Rfam says of the family: Transfer RNA (tRNA) molecules are approximately 80 nucleotides in length. Their secondary structure includes four short double-helical elements and three loops (D, anti-codon, and T loops). The record is from RNAcentral. Lineage: Bacteria; Bacillati; Actinomycetota.
GCGAGAGUGGCGGAAUCGGUAGACGCGCCGGGUUUAGGACCCGGUGCCCGAAAGGGCGUGGGGGUUCGACUCCCCCCUCUCGCA